UCGGGUAUGGUGUAGCGGUAACAUCAGCGACUCUCAAUUGCUCGCUAGCCCGGGGUUCGACUCCCCGUAUCCGAG
Molecule: transfer RNA, 75 nt
Filed under: Thermochaetoides thermophila DSM 1495
Lineage: Eukaryota; Fungi; Ascomycota; Sordariomycetes; Sordariales; Chaetomiaceae
Description: Chaetomium thermophilum var. thermophilum DSM 1495 tRNA-Glu
Rfam family: tRNA
About the family: Transfer RNA (tRNA) molecules are approximately 80 nucleotides in length.
Source: RNAcentral